This 177-nucleotide non-coding RNA is filed under the name Anaerolineales bacterium. RNAcentral describes it as "6S RNA". It matches the Rfam family "6S / SsrS RNA". From Rfam's summary of the family: E. coli 6S RNA was the first non coding RNA to be sequenced, but its function was unknown until recently. It consists of 184 nucleotides that fold into an extended hairpin structure with a large single-stranded internal bulge. RNAcentral also lists the same sequence under 1 other name. Lineage: Bacteria; Bacillati; Chloroflexota; Anaerolineae; Anaerolineales. The record is from RNAcentral.
GCAACCCUGCUGUGUUCGUGAUAUUGCCCUCACGUUUUGAGCCAACAUCUCUAAAACGGGUCCUUAUCUCACAAGAAAUAACGCGAUAGGCCUGAGCCAAGGCGGCGUUUCUGGGUCAGGACCCACCUGCGAAAGCAGGUUCAAAACCUGGUGAUACACGGCAUAAGCGGGGGUUUU